CGCGGCCUAUCAGCUUGUUGGUGAGGUAAUGGCUCACCAAGGCGACGACGGGUAGCCGGCCUGAGAGGGCGACCGGCCACACUGGGACUGAGACACGGCCCAGACUUCUACGGGAGGCAGCAGUGGGGAAUGUUGCACAAUGGGCGAAAGCCUGAUGCAGCGACGCCGCGUGAGGGAUGACGGCCUUCGGGUUGUAAACCUCUUUCAGCAGGGAAGAAGCGAAAGUGACGGUACCUGCAGAAGAAGCGCCGGCUAACUACGUGCCAGCAGCCGCGGUAAUACGUAGGGCGCGAGCGUUGUCCGGAAUUAUUGGGCGUAAAGAGCUCGUAGGCGGCUUGUCGCGUCGGUUGUGAAAGCCCGGGGCUUAACCCCGGGUCUGCAGUCGAUACGGGCAGGCUAGAGUUCGGUAGGGGAGAUCGGAAUUCCUGGUGUAGCGGUGAAAUGCGCAGAUAUCAGGAGGAACACCGGUGGCGAAGGCGGAUCUCUGGGUCGAUACUGACGCUGAGGAGCGAAAGCGUGGGGAGCGAACAGGAUUAGAUACCCUGGUAGUCCACGCCGUAAACGGUGGGCACUAGGUGUGGGCAACAUUCCACGUUGUCCGUGCCGCAGCUAACGCAUUAAGUGCCCCGCCUGGGGAGUACGGA
Molecule: ribosomal RNA, 644 nt
Filed under: uncultured Streptomyces sp.
Lineage: Bacteria; Bacillati; Actinomycetota; Actinomycetes; Kitasatosporales; Streptomycetaceae
Description: bacterial SSU rRNA
Rfam family: Bacterial small subunit ribosomal RNA
Source: RNAcentral